UGGGGAAUCUUGCGCAAUGCGCGAAAGCGUGACGCAGCAACGCCGCGUGGGGGAAGAAGGUCUUCGGAUUGUAAACCCCUUUCAGUUGGGACGAAGCUUCCAGGGUUAAUAGCUCUGUGGAGUGACGGUACCUUCAGAAGAAGCCCCGGCUAACUACGUGCCAGCAGCCGCGGUAAUACGUAGGGGGCAAGCGUUGUCCGGAAUCAUUGGGCGUAAAGCGCGUGUAGGCGGUCCGGUAAGUCCGCUGUGAAAGUCGGGGGCUCAACCCUCGGAUGCCGGUGGAUACUGUCGGGCUUGAGUACGGAAGAGGCGAGUGGAAUUCCUGGUGUAGCGGUGAAAUGCGCAGAUAUCAGGAGGAACACCAAUUGCGAAGGCAGCUCGCUGGGACGUUACUGGCGCUGAGACGCGAAAGCGUGGGGAGCAAAC
RNAcentral lists this ribosomal RNA (426 nucleotides) under uncultured bacterium. Its description in RNAcentral is "bacterial SSU rRNA". It matches the Rfam family "Bacterial small subunit ribosomal RNA", at positions 355 to 773 of the family's 1533-position model. The record is from RNAcentral.